GUCCAUCUAGCUCAAUUGGUAGAGCACAAAGCUUUGAACCUUGUGGUCGUGGGUUCAAGCCCCACGGUUUGCA
This 73-nucleotide transfer RNA is filed under the name Zea mays. It matches the Rfam family "tRNA". Rfam says of the family: Transfer RNA (tRNA) molecules are approximately 80 nucleotides in length. Lineage: Eukaryota; Viridiplantae; Streptophyta; Magnoliopsida; Poales; Poaceae. The record is from Rfam by way of RNAcentral.